CUGAUGGUGCUAAUGGUGGACCUGUAGAUGAUGAUGGCUGUGAUUCUGCAUUAAUAAAACGUUAUAGUUAUUUACAUUACAUAGGCAUAACUAACACAUAACUUUGUGAUUUUUUUUUAGAUAUCACCUCAAACAGUGGCAUGAAAACGGAAACUGCUUAUUUUUGUUUGUUCUGUGUGCCUUCACAUUUCCAACUGAAAAUAAUUGCCCAUGAAGAUGGGCAGAAAACAUGUUGAUUCAGUACAAUACCCCCUUUUUCCAGUAUUUGUAUGGUAUUUCAAUAUUUAAUGUUAUCUUUCUGAAGGAUUUGUAACACAUUAAGACUCAAUCUGAGGUGCUUGGCGAAGGUGUGCACUCUCCGUGUGCUUUGCUAGUCUUAUUGAUUUAUUUUCAAGUACUGUUUUUUUUUUUUUUUUUUUGUCAUUUUAAUUGUAAUUUUACAAGGUCAAAUUAAAGACACCAAUCAGUAAAAAUACAUCUACCUUGUACCUUAUGGGCAUGAAUCUAGCUUAUCCAGCUAAUGAAUGCAAUAUUGUUUGGUGGUUGCUACCUACGAAUGCAACUAUUUAUUUCUGUUUUAAUAGAUAUGUUUGUUGUCAUUCUGUUUCAGAGUGGAUUUCAAGAAGAGAGAGGGGUCACAUGAAUCUUGACAUUUAUAAACAUGCAACUGCAUUUCUUCUUCAAGCCAAGGAAACCCAUCGACUGACAUGGAGAGCUGUUAACCACAUCGUGAGUGGAGUCCAGCAAUAUCAGGCCGUAUUAU
Molecule: long non-coding RNA, 763 nt
Filed under: Oreochromis niloticus (Nile tilapia)
Lineage: Eukaryota; Metazoa; Chordata; Actinopteri; Cichliformes; Cichlidae
Description: lncRNA (ENSONIG00000027564.1)
Source: RNAcentral